GUAGGUGGCAAGCGUUGUCCGGAAUUAUUGGGCGUAAAGCGCGCGCAGGCGGUCCUUUAAGUCUGAUGUGAAAGCCCACGGCUCAACCGUGGAGGGUCAUUGGAAACUGGGGGACUUGAGUACAGAAGAGGAAAGCGGAAUUCCACGUGUAGCGGUGAAAUGCGUAGAGAUGAGGAGGAACACCAGUGGCGAAGGCGGCUUUCUGGUCUGUAACUGACGCUGAGGCGCGAAAGCGUGGGGAGCAAACAGGGAUUAGAUACCCUGGUAGUCCACGCCGUAAACGAUGAGUGCUAAGUGUUAGGGGGUUUCCCGCCCCUUAGUGCUGCAGCUAACGCAUUAAGCACUCCGCCUGGGGAGUACGGCCGCAAGGCUG
RNAcentral lists this ribosomal RNA (373 nucleotides) under uncultured organism. RNAcentral describes it as "partial 16S ribosomal RNA". It matches the Rfam family "Bacterial small subunit ribosomal RNA", at positions 527 to 896 of the family's 1533-position model. The record is from RNAcentral.